RNAcentral lists this non-coding RNA (219 nucleotides) under unclassified sequences. RNAcentral describes it as "FuFi-1 RNA". It matches the Rfam family "FuFi-1 RNA". The record is from Rfam by way of RNAcentral.
UAGGGUGAUAGCAGAGCUGGGACUGCUAAAGUGAAGCGGCGAACCAAGCAGUAGUCAUGGCUUUGGCUACGGAAUUCAUAAGAAGCGGGCAAGCUAUACCAGCUUGUUCGGGCAUCGGAACCCACCAGUUCAUAGACGAUGCUAUGGAUUUCUGCAAUUUGUUUUAGGUGAAAAAAACCCAGGUCUAACACCGCAGCGAAGCCACGCUCGCGGUGUUUU